RNAcentral lists this long non-coding RNA (415 nucleotides) under Homo sapiens (human). RNAcentral's name for it is "HSALNT0297435". The record is from RNAcentral. Lineage: Eukaryota; Metazoa; Chordata; Mammalia; Primates; Hominidae.
CAUUGAAGGAAGGUGGUUCGGGCGGCAGUGGGAUGGAGAGGCUUCCGGAGCAGUCAGCUGGAGCGCCCUGGCACUAAGUGCGUUCCUCUGGCAAAGAAGAAAAUAAUUUCUGUCCCUCGCCAUCUGCUGCAUGGGAAGAUGGGAAUGGAGUGAGCACGGUAUGAGGGGAUCAGGAACGUCAAGGGGCUGUGUCCAGCUGCCCAAACCAUCCAAGAGGCCGGCACCGUGCUGAGGACAGUGGCGGGGACAGGAGCCAAGGUUCAUCAUCGUACCCCAAGGCCUGGGCAAGACAGAUGCUGCGUCCUGCAAUGGCCCCACCAUGGACCCUCGUCAUCCAACCGAAGUCGCCCCCUUGCCUGGCUUUAUCUUCACUAUAUUGUGAGGCUGCUUCAUUGAAUCUUAUCCCAGACUUUAA